This 700-nucleotide ribosomal RNA is filed under the name uncultured bacterium. RNAcentral describes it as "bacterial SSU rRNA". It matches the Rfam family "Bacterial small subunit ribosomal RNA", at positions 83 to 785 of the family's 1533-position model. The record is from RNAcentral.
UUUUGAUGGCGACCGGCGCACGGGUGCGUAACAGGUGUGCAAUCUGUCCAUAAUCGGGGAAUAGCCCAGCGAAAGUUGGAUUAAUGCUCCAUGUGAGCCGAGGAGGCAUCUCUUGGGUUUGAAACGUAAGGAUUAUGGGUGAGCACGCUUCUGAUUAGGUAGUUGGUGAGGUAACGGCUCACCAAGCCGACGAUCAGUAGGGGUUCUGAGAGGAAGGUCCCCCACAUUGGAACUGAGACACGGUCCAAACUCCUACGGGAGGCAGCAGUGAGGAAUAUUGGUCAAUGGACGGAAGUCUGAACCAGCCAAGUCGCGUGAAGGAUGAAGGUUCUAUGGAUUGUAAACUUCUUUUGUCUGAGGGUAAAAAAGCGGACGUGUCCGUUCUUGCAAGUAUCAGACGAAUAAGCAUCGGCUAACUCCGUGCCAGCAGCCGCGGUAAUACGGAGGAUGCAAGCGUUAUCCGGAUUUAUUGGGUUUAAAGGGUGCGUAGGCGGGUUGUUAAGUCAGUGGUGAAAGCGUGUGGCUCAACCAUACCAAGCCAUUGAAACUGGCGACCUUGAGUGCAAACGAGGUAGGCGGAAUGUAACGUGUAGCGGUGAAAUGCUUAGAUAUGUUACAGAACCCCGAUUGCGAAGGCAGCUUACCAGCAUGCAACUGACGCUGAGGCACGAAAGCGUGGGUAUCAAACAGGAUUAGAUAC